UUGGAGGGCAAGCUCUGGUGCCCGCAGCCGCGGUAAUUCCAGCUCCAAUAGCGUAUAUUAAAGUUGUUGCAGUUAAAAAGCUCGUAGUUGAAUUUCGGGGUUCUACCGUUGGUCGGGCAAUAGUCUGUACUGGCGUGUAGAAUUUCUACCUUCUGGGGAACUAUCAUGUUAUUUAUUUAGCGUGGUAGGAAACCAGGACCUUUACCUUGAAAAAAUUAGAGUGUUCAAAGCAGGCUUACGUCUGAAUACAUUAGCAUGGAAUAAUAAAAUAGGACGGUGGUCCUGUUUUGUUGGUUUCUGAAUCACCGUAAUGAUUAAUAGGGAUAGUUGGGGGCAUUAGUAUUCAAUUGUCAGAGGUGAAAUUCUUGGAUUUAUUGAAGACUAACUUCUGCGAAAGCAUUUGCCAAGGAUGUUUUCAUUAAUCAAGAACGAAAGUUAGGGGAUCGAAGACGAUCAGAUACCGUCGUAGUCUUAACCAUAAACUAUGCCGACUAGGGAUCGGACGAUGUUAAUUUUUCUUGACUCGUUCGGCACCUUACGGGAAAC
RNAcentral lists this ribosomal RNA (546 nucleotides) under uncultured Gigasporaceae. Its description in RNAcentral is "SSU rRNA". It matches the Rfam family "Eukaryotic small subunit ribosomal RNA", at positions 548 to 1098 of the family's 1831-position model. The record is from RNAcentral. Lineage: Eukaryota; Fungi; Glomeromycota; Glomeromycetes; Diversisporales; Gigasporaceae.